GACGAACGCUGGCGGCGUGCUUAACACAUGCAAGUCGAACGGAAAGGCCCUGCUUUUGUGGGGUGCUCGAGUGGCGAACGGGUGAGUAACACGUGAGUAACCUGCCCUUGACUUUGGGAUAACUUCAGGAAACUGGGGCUAAUACCGGAUAGGAGCUCCUGCUGCAUGGUGGGGGUUGGAAAGUUUCGGCGGUUGGGGAUGGACUCGCGGCUUAUCAGCUUGUUGUGGGGUAGUGGCUUACCAAGGCUUUGACGGGUAGCCGGCCUGAGAGGGUGACCGGCCACAUUGGGACUGAGAUACGGCCCAGACUCCUACGGGAGGCAGCAGUGGGGAAUAUUGCACAAUGGGCGGAAGCCUGAUGCAGCAACGCCGCGUGCGGGAGGACGGCCUUCGGGUUGUAAACCGCUUUCGCCUGUGACGAAGCGUGAGUGACGGUAAUGGGUAAAGAAGCACCGGCUAACUACGU
This 466-nucleotide ribosomal RNA is filed under the name uncultured bacterium. Its description in RNAcentral is "partial 16S ribosomal RNA". It matches the Rfam family "Bacterial small subunit ribosomal RNA", at positions 28 to 506 of the family's 1533-position model. The record is from RNAcentral.